This 18-nucleotide unclassified non-coding RNA is filed under the name Dictyostelium discoideum. Lineage: Eukaryota; Evosea; Eumycetozoa; Dictyosteliales; Dictyosteliaceae. The record is from RNAcentral.
GGGGUUGAGGCUUUUCCA